AUUUUAACCAUAGCUGAUUAUAAUAGGCAGCCAAAGUUUAAAACCACCGAGUUACUUCUUAGCACAAUUGUUUGGCCUGCAAUUUUAUUAGGAACUCAGGUUUUUGGUUUAUUAUGAUUUCAAGCAUCAGGACUAAGGUAUAAUUACCAGGGUAUUAAGGCAUUGUAGAUACAUAGCUUUACCACACAAAUGCCAGAAUACUGGAAAGGAUAAUCACAUCUCUCAGUUUGAAAAGUCCUGUUUUCAAGCUGCUAUUACAUCCAUCUUCAGAAUUUAUUGCCUAGGGUUUGCAGAUGGUGGAGUGCUACUUAGAAGAGACACCCUGUUGGGAAAACCACAUUGCGGUGCAAUUAAUAACCAGGGAGUUUCCUUUCCACAUCCUCUUAAUUAGAGUCUCAAAUUUGUGUUGGAUAAGCCCCGUAUGAGGACCAUGUGAAAUCUCUGGGCUCAGCAUACGGAGAUUCUGAUUCAGCAUGUCUGCACUGCGAGGCAGACCAGUCUACGUCUUUAACAGGCACUUCCACUCCCCGAUCCCUAGGAUUCUGCUGCAAGGACAUCACGCAUCACACUGAGAGAAGCACUACUCUUUAUUAGGAGUUAAACAAUGUUUUUAAGGACCCACAUUCUUUUAAAUUCUGAACAUUUUCCAUCAGUGUGUGGAUUUUUUUCAGCUGAUUUUACUUUUUUUGAUACUAGAAUUUUGAUCGAGAUUUCUUGAGGUUACUAAUAAAACUCCCUGAAUAAAAAAGAUCAAGUGAAAAUAGAAUAUCAGAUGCGUGGGACUUCUUCAGCCAUAUGCAGAAUACAACUCCAUUCGUUCUCAUAUUAUCUUUAAGACUACCUUGUAGAAUGUCCCUUUUCCAUCCACAGAUGAUAUCUAAGGCAAAAUUCUACUGUUUUCUAGGCAGAAUUGGGCAUUAGAAUUAUUCCUUUUUCAUGUAUUAAUAAUCCCAGGGAUCUAAAUCCAUACUUCAAGCUCAAUUCCGAUUUAAAGUUGCCUCGUCUUCCCCCUGCAC
RNAcentral lists this long non-coding RNA (1016 nucleotides) under Equus caballus (horse). RNAcentral's name for it is "lncRNA (ENSECAG00000057423.1)". The record is from RNAcentral. Lineage: Eukaryota; Metazoa; Chordata; Mammalia; Perissodactyla; Equidae.